This 1412-nucleotide ribosomal RNA is filed under the name Acinetobacter sp. LR16. RNAcentral describes it as "bacterial SSU rRNA". It matches the Rfam family "Bacterial small subunit ribosomal RNA". Lineage: Bacteria; Pseudomonadati; Pseudomonadota; Gammaproteobacteria; Moraxellales; Moraxellaceae. The record is from RNAcentral.
UGGCUCAGAUUGAACGCUGGCGGCAGGCUUAACACAUGCAAGUCGAGCGGAGAUGAGGUGCUUGCACCUUAUCUUAGCGGCGGACGGGUGAGUAAUGCUUAGGAAUCUGCCUAUUAGUGGGGGACAACAUUCCGAAAGGAAUGCUAAUACCGCAUACGCCCUACGGGGGAAAGCAGGGGAUCUUCGGACCUUGCGCUAAUAGAUGAGCCUAAGUCGGAUUAGCUAGUUGGUGGGGUAAAGGCCUACCAAGGCGACGAUCUGUAGCGGGUCUGAGAGGAUGAUCCGCCACACUGGGACUGAGACACGGCCCAGACUCCUACGGGAGGCAGCAGUGGGGAAUAUUGGACAAUGGGCGGAAGCCUGAUCCAGCCAUGCCGCGUGUGUGAAGAAGGCCUUUUGGUUGUAAAGCACUUUAAGCGAGGAGGAGGCUACCUGGAUUAAUACUCUAGGAUAGUGGACGUUACUCGCAGAAUAAGCACCGGCUAACUCUGUGCCAGCAGCCGCGGUAAUACAGAGGGUGCGAGCGUUAAUCGGAUUUACUGGGCGUAAAGCGUGCGUAGGCGGCUGAUUAAGUCGGAUGUGAAAUCCCUGAGCUUAACUUAGGAAUUGCAUUCGAUACUGGUCAGCUAGAGUAUGGGAGAGGAUGGUAGAAUUCCAGGUGUAGCGGUGAAAUGCGUAGAGAUCUGGAGGAAUACCGAUGGCGAAGGCAGCCAUCUGGCCUAAUACUGACGCUGAGGUACGAAAGCAUGGGGAGCAAACAGGAUUAGAUACCCUGGUAGUCCAUGCCGUAAACGAUGUCUACUAGCCGUUGGGGCCUUUGAGGCUUUAGUGGCGCAGCUAACGCGAUAAGUAGACCGCCUGGGGAGUACGGUCGCAAGACUAAAACUCAAAUGAAUUGACGGGGGCCCGCACAAGCGGUGGAGCAUGUGGUUUAAUUCGAUGCAACGCGAAGAACCUUACCUGGCCUUGACAUACUAGAAACUUUCCAGAGAUGGAUUGGUGCCUUCGGGAAUCUAGAUACAGGUGCUGCAUGGCUGUCGUCAGCUCGUGUCGUGAGAUGUUGGGUUAAGUCCCGCAACGAGCGCAACCCUUUUCCUUAUUUGCCAGCGAGUAAUGUCGGGAACUUUAAGGAUACUGCCAGUGACAAACUGGAGGAAGGCGGGGACGACGUCAAGUCAUCAUGGCCCUUACGGCCAGGGCUACACACGUGCUACAAUGGUCGGUACAAAGGGUUGCUACCUAGUGAUAGGAUGCUAAUCUCAAAAAGCCGAUCGUAGUCCGGAUUGGAGUCUGCAACUCGACUCCAUGAAGUCGGAAUCGCUAGUAAUCGCGGAUCAGAAUGCCGCGGUGAAUACGUUCCCGGGCCUUGUACACACCGCCCGUCACACCAUGGGAGUUUGUUGCACCAGAAG